This 433-nucleotide ribosomal RNA is filed under the name uncultured bacterium. RNAcentral's name for it is "partial 16S ribosomal RNA". It matches the Rfam family "Bacterial small subunit ribosomal RNA", at positions 30 to 506 of the family's 1533-position model. The record is from RNAcentral.
AGCGAACGCUGGCGGCAGGCCUAACACAUGCAAGUCGAACGAACCGUCCGGGGCUAGCGGCGGACGGCGGAGGACGACGGGGGAACGUGCCCUUAGGUGCGGAAUAAUGCAGGGCAAGAUGAGCUAAUACCGAAGGUGCUCUUCGGGGGAAAGAUUUUGCGGCUUUAGAGCGGCCCGCAUCUGCUUGGCUAGGUGGUUGAGGUGAUGGCUCACCAAGGCGUGGAUCAGUAGCUGGCCUGAGAGGAUGCUCAGCCACAUUGGGACGGAGACCCGGCCCAAACGCCUGCGGGAGGCAGCAGUGGGGACUCUAGCGCAAUGAGCGAAAGCCUGCCGCGGCCAUGCCGCGUGAAUGAUGAAGGGCUUAGAAUCGUAAAAUUCUUUCGCCGGGGACGAUAAUGCCGGUACCCGGGGAAGAAGCCCCGGCUACCUCCUU